GUUUUUAUAGUUUAACUAAAACAUUAGUUUUGUAAACUAAAAAUAUUAAAUAAAAUUAAAAACU
Molecule: transfer RNA, 64 nt
Filed under: Negha inflata
Lineage: Eukaryota; Metazoa; Arthropoda; Insecta; Raphidioptera; Inocelliidae
Description: tRNA-Thr
Source: RNAcentral